Molecule: long non-coding RNA, 557 nt
Organism: Anolis carolinensis (green anole)
Lineage: Eukaryota; Metazoa; Chordata; Lepidosauria; Squamata; Anolidae
Exons: 2
Source: RefSeq, a predicted model, not a curated record
UGGGGUUGGACUGGAUGGCUCAUGAGGUCUCUUCCAACUCUAUGAUUCUAAGUCAGUCCUUUUUUUGUGACAGGAGAGACUUGAGAAACUGCAAGUUGCUUCUGGUGUGAGAGAAUUGGCUGUCUGCAAGGACGUUGCCCAGGGGACGUCCGGAUGUUUUCUGAUGUUUUAUCGUCCUUCUCUCCUGUCCAUGCAUGGAGCUGGAGCUGAUAGAAGGAGCUCAUCUGUGCUCUUCCUUGACUGGAUUUGAACCGGCAGCCUUCAGGUCAGCAAUCCAACCUUCAGCUUGAACGCCAAGGGAACGGGGCCAGCUCAAGCAAAUGCAAGGAAGAGAGAUCUGGAGGCCUGGUUGAGCCGGACCAUCGUCCAUACAGAGGCACAACUUUUAGGACCCAGAAGAAAUAUGUCCCAGCGUGUGCUAUUUUCCUGUUUAUUUUUUCUCUCCUUUCCCUCUCUUUCCUCUUUCCCCCCUUUCCCCCCCUCGGGGACUGGAAAUACCAGAGCUGAUGUCAUAAAGCCGGCAGCCCGUGCCAGAAAUAAAAAUUUGGAUAAACUCA